Long non-coding RNA from Cryptomeria japonica (Japanese cedar), 1499 nucleotides. RefSeq lists it as uncharacterized. The transcript has 2 exons. Lineage: Eukaryota; Viridiplantae; Streptophyta; Pinopsida; Cupressales; Cupressaceae. The record is from RefSeq and is a predicted model, not a curated record.
AUCAACACUUUCUUUAUGAGAGAUCAACUCCCAUGCAUGCAUCCAACCAAUAUUUCAUUUGGGGGUUUACUAUCAGUGUCUCAUAUGUUUUUAAACUAGAGAAGGAGAGUAGAUUUUGGGCAUGACAAUAUAUAAAAUAAUCAAAUUUCUUUUACAUAGCAAAACCACUAUUUUAGAUAGAGUUUUUUUAUUGGGUUUAGAAGGAUAGAUUGAGAAUUUUACAUCAGUGUUAUAUCUAAGAUUUCCAACACUCUCUAGAGUUUAUUUACAUUAGAUAGUUAAGCAUUCUUGAAGGGUUUUUAUUUGGAUUAUUAGUUUUCAGCUUUGGGGAUUUAUUUUCUAGUUGUUUGGGGGUUUAUAGAGGAGUUGAAACAUCAUUUCCAAGCACUCUUAGAGCAAAUAUUAAAUCAGGAUGGAUAAAUUAAGCUAUUCUUAUAGAUGAUUAAAUGCAUACAACCAUGCAGAUGCCUUAAAAGCAUGAAAGAUGGAUAGUUGAGUUUAUCCUCUUGUGCAUGAAAAGAGGUGUUCAUUUUAAGAAUAUUGGUAUUUUGGAUAUGUUGAUAUGGUUUUGUCAUUGAUGUCACACCUGUCAUCACUUGUCAACACUUAUCAGUACUUGGAGAUUUGGUUAUGUUCACUGGAAAGCAAGUGACUUAUGCACAGUCACCUGUAUUUGGUUCAUCGAUAGGAUAUAUUGUUCACCGACACUUGGAAUCACUUGAAGACUACUUGGUUAUGUCGAAGACAUCGUUUGGACACUUUGUCUUGGUGAUUUGUUCAUUGGUACAUUCAGGUUUGCAUAUUUGUUGUUACCGACAAAUAGGUCCAGGAUAUGCACUGGCAGGCAUAUCUAUUCCAGAUCAGCACGACACGUUAUGGAGAUGAUUUGUUAUUAUUAUAAAUGCAUUUGAGCCGACAUCAUGCAUCGGAUAUUGAUUAUUUGUAAUUGAUUUUAUUGUAAUAUCUUUUAGUGAGCCGACCUAUUCAAUUGGUCUUAGGUUAUGGUAUAAAUGUAAGAUCUCAUUUGUGAGAUUGAUAUGCGAUUGGGAAAAGGAAUUGUAAUAAGGUAUAUGCGAAAAUAAGCAGAGCUAUACACGCAGACAUCAUUUGAAGGUUGAAGGAAGGUUUUUGUGAAGGCAAUCAGAACUAAACCGGUACUGAAUCCAACAUAUGAAGAUGCUAUUUUAUGCAAUACAUUGUCAUUGGAUUUAACCAUCCAAUUGUAAUCAGUGUGACUCUCAUUUUGUGAUUGAGUAGUGAGCUCUAGGUAGCUAGCCUUUCUACAUGUGCAGAAUCCAUAUUGUACACACAUACUAUCUGUAGUAGUAUCAUUUGAUUGUGGGUAAGGCUUCCCACCAUGGUUUUUCCCCUUACAGGGUUUCCACGUACAAAUAUUUGUGUUAUGUGUUGUGGGUGUUGUUGUCUUUCUGUUUCAUGCAUUAAUCUUUACCGGUACUACAAUUAACUAAUAAAACUGUCUACCAGCAUAAAGUUUGGAU